This 848-nucleotide ribosomal RNA is filed under the name Dendrobium fytchianum. Its description in RNAcentral is "eukaryotic LSU rRNA". The stretch from base 361 to 516 matches the Rfam family "5.8S ribosomal RNA". The record is from RNAcentral. Lineage: Eukaryota; Viridiplantae; Streptophyta; Magnoliopsida; Asparagales; Orchidaceae.
GAUCGCUGUGAUGCGGGGGGUCCGCCGCCCGUGACUCUGCGAGAAGUCCAUUGAACCUUAUCAUUUAGAGGAAGGAGAAGUCGUAACAAGGUUUCCGUAGGUGAACCUGCGGAAGGAUCAUUGUCGAGACCGAAAUAUAUCGAGCGAUUUGGAGAACUUGUUGAAAUUAGCGGUGGCUGAUGUUGCCGUGAAAAAAGCCAUCUGAGUCGUUGCCUCGCUGCCCUGAUGGUCGGGGACUCACGAUGAAGGUGGAUGAACAAUCGAAUCGGCGCAGCAUCGCGCCAAGGAAAUCUGGAAAAUCACCCAACAAAAUGGGAUCGGUGACAUGUGGGUGCUGCUGCACCCCAUGUGGAAUUAUACGACUCUCGGCAAUGGAUAUCUCGGCUCUCGCAUCGAUGAAGAGCGCAGCGAAAUGCGAUACGUGGUGCGAAUUGCAGAAUCCCGCGAACCAUCGAGUCUUUGAACGCAAGUUGCGCCCGAGGCCAAUCGGCUGAGGGCACGUCUGCCUGGGCGUCAAACUUUACGAUGCUCCGUGCCAAUCCAAUCCCAAUAAUGGGUGAGCUGGGGAAGGCUCGGAUGUGCAGAGUGGCUCGUCGUGCCCCUGGUGCGGCGGGCUGAAGAGCGUGCGAUCUUCUCGUUGCCAUCGAACAACAAGGGGUGGAUAAAAUCGAGGCUCGUAUUGUUGUGUCGUAUAUGCCCGAGAGAAGAUUACACUUUUAUCUGUGAUCCCAAAUCAAGCGUCGAUUCAUGGAUGGCGUUUGGAAUGCGACCCCAGGAUGGGCGAGGCCACCCGCUGAGUUUAAGCAUAUCAAUAAGCGGAGGAGAAGAAACUUACGAGGAUUCCCCUA